Non-coding RNA from Phyllostomus discolor (pale spear-nosed bat), 139 nucleotides. RefSeq annotates it as small Cajal body-specific RNA 3. Lineage: Eukaryota; Metazoa; Chordata; Mammalia; Chiroptera; Phyllostomidae. The transcript has a single exon. The record is from RefSeq and is a predicted model, not a curated record.
CAUGGAACCUGCAGGAACUAACCAUGUGGACAAAUGAAAAAUGUAUUUGUCUACAAAUUGCAGUGACCAUACAUAAACAUGGAGGUCUCUGUCCGGCUUAGGACAGCUGACUGAGUUUGAUCGUCUCCCUCCAUACAGG